Molecule: ribosomal RNA, 478 nt
Filed under: uncultured bacterium
Lineage: Bacteria
Description: bacterial SSU rRNA
Rfam family: Bacterial small subunit ribosomal RNA
Source: RNAcentral
UUGAACGCUGGCGGCAUGCUUUACACAUGCAAGUCGAACGGUAGAGGGCUUCGGCCCUUGAGAGUGGCGAACGGGUGAGUAAUGCAUCGGAACAUACCCAGUCGUGGGGGAUAACGUAGCGAAAGUUACGCUAAUACCGCAUACGUCCUGAGGGAGAAAGCGGGGGAUCGCAAGACCUCGCGCGAUUGGAGUGGCCGAUGUCAGAUUAGCUAGUUGGUGGGGUAAAGGCCCACCAAGGCGACGAUCUGUAGCGGGUCUGAGAGGAUGAUCCGCCACACUGGGACUGAGACACGGCCCAGACUCCUACGGGAGGCAGCAGUGGGGAAUUUUGGACAAUGGGGGCAACCCUGAUCCAGCCAUGCCGCGUGCGGGAAGAAGGCCUUCGGGUUGUAAAGCUCUUUCAGCAGGAACGAAACGGUAGGCUUUAAUACGGUCUGCUAAUGACGGUACCUGCAGAAGAAGCACCGGCUAACUACGU